CGGGCAUGCAAUUUUUACAUUGAUGUAUGAUACUAUCGCGGAGAAAUCAGUUCUGAAUUUGGGGAAACAUGCUUUGUAUUUCAAUACCUAUCGGUCGUUUACGUUUGAAUCGAGAAUUUCUCAAAAAUCAUGAGGUGACAUUGCGGAAUUUUACUGAAAAUCGAGGGCGCCAUAAACUUCUCCCUGGAGCUUCUCUAGAGCGAAGUGGGGAGACCUAGAGCGACUUUGUCGCUCACUUCGCCUGGUGUGGUGACCCC
RNAcentral lists this long non-coding RNA (257 nucleotides) under Mytilus galloprovincialis (Mediterranean mussel). Lineage: Eukaryota; Metazoa; Mollusca; Bivalvia; Mytilida; Mytilidae. The record is from RNAcentral.